This 1582-nucleotide long non-coding RNA is filed under the name Equus asinus (donkey). Its description in RNAcentral is "lncRNA (ENSEASG00005025899.1)". Lineage: Eukaryota; Metazoa; Chordata; Mammalia; Perissodactyla; Equidae. The record is from RNAcentral.
CUUUCUCAAAGCUCUCAGUUGACUGCCAACUAACGGUGUGUUUUCGCCAUGAAUCUUGAUCUUCUGGCAUGGGACAUUCUGAGAUUUGGUUACCAGCAAAUCUUGUGGCCUGGAAAGUUACAUAACUGAAGGCUUGAUUUUGGAUUUUGCUCUGAAGUUUAGUUUGUGUUCCACCCACAGUAAUUAACAUAACCCUCUUGAAAGCGGAAACCAGGUCUGUCUUAGCCUCUUUGGUUUGUCCUCUUUUGCUUACAUAGGGUGGGCAGUUAGAAGAGGGACUCAGCGAAUGUAUAGUCAGGGAUUCAUGCUCAGGAACUUCCCUGAGACUCAGAACACUCCACCUGUAACAACACCGCACCUGAGCAAGGUUUUGGUUGUGCCAUGCCUCGGGACAAGCAGGUAGCAUCCAUAGAAGCUCCCCUCCUACGUUUCAGGUUGGCUCUGGUUAACUCGUUCACUUCGUCAGCAUUUACUGAGCACCUACAAUGAGCUGGGCCCUCAGAGCUGAAUAAGAUACAAACCUACUGCUCCAUGAGGUCAGGAUGUAAUGGAGGAAGGGGCAGUUUCAUCGAUCACGACUACAUAGUGUGGCAGAAUUUGAGAUUCUGAGAACAUGUUCCACGAGUAAACACCUUUCUCACUCUCAAAGCGCCAACUGGAAAUUUCACUCAACGACAAGGAUGCAUAUAUGCCCCCUCUUCUAUAGAAAACAACCACUUGAUGGUCUGUUUCAGACUGACUCUCCUGUAUUUACAAAAAUAUUUUCUAACUGUGAGAAGAGUCACUACGUCUUUGUCAUUCACAAAUUGAUCCAACACUUUCGUUAUCCUCGUAUAUUUCAUCCCGGCAUAAUCUCUUUAUCCGAGCUGCAGAGGAGAGAGUGCAAUUUGACUCCAAAUUAUGAGGACAGUCCCCAAAACACUCCUACGUGGACCAGAAAAGAUGGCAGGCUAGAGACAUCCAAAGAAAGCGAGGACCGAUCCGAGUCUCCCAGGGAGGGGCAUGACCUCUGGACUCCAGGAGCGCUAAUAUUGGCAGCAUCCAAACGUCCUUAAAGAAGGCCAUUAAGUUAGCUAAGCACAUUUACCUGGAACUUAAAUCGUGAUUCCCUUAUAUUUGGUAAGUUGUUAAGACUACGUGAUGCCAAUGAGCUUUUAUUAUAGUCACCAUCAGCAUGUGCAGUUAGGAAGGCUGCCCCGUCUGUUCUCCACUGAAGUGCUUCUCAGCAGAAAUCCUCCACACCUUCUUCAAAAGUCUCUAAUGACAAGUUUACGUUUGGAGGCCUUCAGUCACCCACUUUCACCCUCUUUCUCAAAGCUCUCAGUUGACUGCCAACUAACGGUGUGUUUUCGCCAUGAAUCUUGAUCUUCUGGCAUGGGACAUUCUGAGAUUUGGUUACCAGCAAAUCUUGUGGCCUGGAAAGUUACAUAACUGAAGGCUUGAUUUUGGAUUUUGCUCUGAAGUUUAGUUUGUGUUCCACCCACAGUAAUUAACAUAACCCUCUUGAAAGCGGAAACCAGGUCUGUCUUAGCCUCUUUGGUUUGUCCUCUUUUGCUUACAUAGGGUGGGCAGUUAGAAGAGG